This 1165-nucleotide long non-coding RNA is filed under the name Strigops habroptila (Kakapo). Its description in RNAcentral is "lncRNA (ENSSHBG00005006646.1)". Lineage: Eukaryota; Metazoa; Chordata; Aves; Psittaciformes; Psittacidae. The record is from RNAcentral.
GAACAGUUAAUUUUAUUAGAACUUAUGUUUACAAACGGGAUAAUAAUAAAGAUGCUCACAUCACUAAAAUACAUUCUGAUUACGUUCUGAGCAUUAAGAACUAGUUUUGGAUACAUUCCUUAUAUAUUUGUCUACAAAUAGUUCCAAUAAUUGUAAAGGGAGAUUUUUUAAAUCACACACUUUCAUAGUAGGUCAGUGCUGAAUUUAUUAGAUUUUUGAGCUGAGAGACUCCUGCCACCAAAAUAAGGAAGAUUUUAGCCUAACAAGGCACAUUCGUACCUUGCACGCAGACACCUUUCAGGCUUGCACAAAAGCCAGACCAGUUUGAUUUGCCUUGUCUUAAAAUAAUAACCAUGUCCAAAGACAAAACAAGUUUAGAUAUUUAGCUCUGUGCCUGAACCAUGAAGUUAUUCCAUAGACCUACAUGUCUGAGGCACUAAAAUGCAGCAAUUGAGAAUCAAUGCUGCAGCCACUUUCUAUUACACCCAAACCUGUAACAGGAAGCUCUUCCCUGUUUAGUUCCUUUGCUAAAUUCUGGUAAGCCAUUUAAAAGAGAAUAUAACCAAACAAGCAAAAAGCAACCUCAUGACAUCAAGAGUGAAGGACAAAGAGAAAAACACACUCUGCUGACUGACCUUAUCCUCUCUGAUAACACAUCUUUGACCAACGACACUAUAAGCUCCUUGAAGAGAGCAGCUUGCCUUCAUUCACAGCGGCAACAUGUACCAAAUACUCAGCCAGUACUUUGGCAGCAGUACAAAAUAAGUUUUAUUGCGUCUCUUGGAAUUUCUAAACAGAGUUCUGCUAUUACACUUCCUGGUGAAGAGAGAAACCACCACAUGCUUUAUAGGGUUCAAGAACUAAAGCACAUCAAAACAAAAGAUGUUUCCAAUAGUAAGAAUAGUUUUGGCCUAGAUAUGAUCCUAUGGUCCUUGGUUUUUCAGCGUAUCUCCAGAGUCCAUCACUGCAUGAGGACUGUAUUUACAGGAAGACAUGUGUAUCACUUCAGCCAGCCAAGGGGAAAAAAAGAAAUAAAACUUAAUAAAAGCCCCAGCGUGUAAAGAAUGAAAUUCUGACAAGCACUACAGACCCCAUCUUUGCCUCAGAUGCAUGGCAGAUGUUUUCAUGUUUGCUGCGAAUUUAAUUGCUAUCCUAAGUCAAAGAA